UGAGUAACCUGCCCUUAACUCUGGGAUAAGCCUGGGAAACUGGGUCUAAUACCGGAUAUGACUCCUCAUCGCAUGGUGGGGGGUGGAAAGCUUUUUGUGGUUUUGGAUGGACUCGCGGCCUAUCAGCUUGUUGGUGAGGUAAUGGCUCACCAAGGCAACGAUGCGUAGCCGACCUGAGAGGGUGAUCGGCCACAUUGGAACUGAGACACGGUCCAGACUCCGUACGGGAGGNAG
This 234-nucleotide ribosomal RNA is filed under the name uncultured bacterium. RNAcentral describes it as "partial 16S ribosomal RNA". It matches the Rfam family "Bacterial small subunit ribosomal RNA", at positions 118 to 351 of the family's 1533-position model. The record is from RNAcentral.